RNAcentral lists this transfer RNA (56 nucleotides) under Ovis aries (sheep). It matches the Rfam family "tRNA", at positions 8 to 63 of the family's 71-position model. From Rfam's summary of the family: Transfer RNA (tRNA) molecules are approximately 80 nucleotides in length. Their secondary structure includes four short double-helical elements and three loops (D, anti-codon, and T loops). The record is from Rfam by way of RNAcentral. Lineage: Eukaryota; Metazoa; Chordata; Mammalia; Artiodactyla; Bovidae.
UGGCUCAGAGAGUAAAGCAUCCGCUUGCAAUGUGGAAGACCAGGGUUCAAUCCCUG